AACAGCAUAGCCACAUAGUGCAACGAGCCAAAUAAAGUCUUAAUUUAUUCAUUUAUUCCUCCAUUAUGUACAGUAACUACUAGUGUAAAAGUCCAUGUAAUUUAAUCUGGGUUGAUGAGCUGUGGGUUCUGUUCUUGUCCUGUAUUUCACUUCAUGGUGUGUUUUAAGUGCACUUACUUAAACCACCUCACUCCUGUGCAUCCCACCUGCUGACCAUCGCUUAGGCUGCCUGGUUCACCACUCACCACUGGUUCACCUGCUUACCCUUUUCCCCCACACUAAAACACAAUCACCUCCCUUCACAUUCAUGUCUCCAUGGCUCCUCCAGAGAUUAAAAGCACAUUUGUCCAAGUGUUAAGCCUGAGAUCCAUCAUCCUUUGGGCUUGUAUUACAGCCACUGGCAAAUGAAAUUCCAACAAAUUCUGGAAGAAAACGUAGCAUCACCUGUGGAUGUAGUUAAAAAGAUAAUGGCUUCUGCACACACACAAAUCUUGUCAGUGGCCAUUGCAACACCCUCCGUCUUUCAAGCUGAGGCUCCCUUUUCUGUCCAUGGAAACACAACACUGAGCCUGGACAAGUGUGUGGACUUUGAUCAGAAGACAGUUUUUGAUAAUGAGAAGGGUUCCUCAGACGAAAAUAUGAUCCACCACCACAGCCUGCCUUGCAACAGCACAGCCCCUAUAGACAAUCCACUGCAUGGACGCAACAGUACAGCCGCGGCAAAUCCACUACAGGGACACAAACACGCAGGCAUCAUUGUCAUGAUUCUGUUGUUAGUCCUGGGAGGAGGAGUGAUUGGGUCCAUUUGCUAUUUUAAAAAAAACAACAAGCUUUGUAAGAAAACUGAAGACAGUGUCGUUUAAACUGCCUUGAAUCCUUCAUUUCUACCUCCUCCACCUCGAGACACUGCACGGAACAGCUGGCUUCCAUCUUCACGGACAUUUUCAACACCUCCCUGGAGUCAUGCCACGUGCCAGCCUGCUUCAAAUCAUCCACCAUCGCCCCUGUUCCUAAGAAGCCACAGAUCAGAGGACCAAAUGACUACAGACAUCAGCCACUAGCCUGUAGUCAUGAAGUCUUCUCAAAUCGUCUCCCCAUCUGAAGGACAUCACCGCCCCCUUCUGGACCCGCUGCAGUUCGCCUACAGAGCCAACAGGUCUGUGGACGACGCUGUAAGCCUAGCCCUCCACUUCAUCCAGGAGCAACUGGACUCCUCAGCAACCUAUACCAGGAGACUGUUUGAGGAAGAUCGUCUCGGACACUCGGACUACAAACACUGGAACUCCUCAGGGCUGUGUACUUUCCCUCUGGCUCUUCUCCCUGUACACGAACAGCUGCAUCUCCAGUCACCAGUCUGUAAAACUGAUCAAGUGUGCGGACGACACCACCCUCGUCUUGUCCCUUUGGCUUAAGCUACAUUUAGUUUUCACUUCAUGGCUCUUUGACUUCUGGCCCUGACCUCAUUGGAGAUUAGAGAGAGCGAGAUUAGACUCUGUAUAGGAGCAAUAGAAUUAUGGACCAUUCCCUAGGUCUGGGCCCGGAUGCCAUGUGUUGAAACCAGAGGAAACUCGCCCUGAACUUGCAAACUCCACAGAUAGACUCCACAGGGUCCUGGAUUUUAAAUUCAUGGUCUGGUUCUGUGAGGCAAGAGGGUUGAUUUCGUUAUACCAUGACUUUCACCCAUCUUUUGUUUUACUCGACAAACUACUGUACGGUGAAAACUGAAACCCUGCUCCUGAUGGACUUUUUAAUCUAAAAUACUCUCCGGUCUCAGCUGCUCAGGAGGACAGGUCUUGAGGUCCUUUGUUUUUGCGCUGGUCAUUUUUCAUUGUUAAUCAUGGAUCUUGAAAGCCAGGUGAACACAUCUGUACAGUGUGAUGGCUUUGCCGAUUGUGACCUGCUUCAUUCACCAAAGAAGAAACGUGAAUGUAACGAUAUCCAAGUCUCACAGGAUGGUAUUAUGUUUUAGCCCCGGCAGAAUUUGUCUAAAAAAAAACGCUAAUUGGGAUUUUUCUAGCAAGAUCUCUCUCUCCCUGUCAGCCCUUAAUGCUUCUAAAAUUUUAAGUACCGGUAGUUUCUGUUUCUGCAAAAAAAACUGUAAACAAGGCGUCACAAAAACAAGGUGAAGUAAUUAAUCAAAUGCCUUUGUUACAAAAUAAAUCAUUAAGGGUCAUUGAAUGAAUUGUGCUGACCUAAAAUGACAUCACAAAGCAAUACCUUCCAUGAGACAUUAAUAGUGAUAUUGCUCUUGCACUUUUUUGUUUACUCCGUAACAAAAAUUACCAAAAUAUAUGGCCCGAAACACACUGAUUUGGAGGUUUUUUGCUGAAAUUUUUUGCAACAUUCCUUUCAUUUUGCACAAAGUUUUGCUCAUAUGUUUAAAUUUAAGUUGAUCCACAUUUCGAUUAUUCCUCUAUUCACAAUAAUGGAUACAAAGCUUUCAGCAGAUCCAUGGGGUCAUUGCAAAAAAGAAUGCGUUUAAACAAAAUCCAAUUCUAAAAUACUAAAUAAAUUGCUGUUUACUUUGUUACUUUCCUCCACUGAAGGCGCGUUUACUUCAGUUGGACUUUUCGCACUUUUCCAAAUAAUUUAUUCCUAAUGUAUUUUUAAAUAUAUAUUUAUAUUGACAAUAAAUUAUUUAAAAUAUCCAGUGACUAAACUAUAAAGUCUACAUUUAUUUUCUCACUGAAACAUCUUCCAGUACACGUGUCUGAAGUGUUUAUACAGUUGCUUUAGAAAUCAUGAUCAUGUGAGACUUUCCGUAAUGCUGUUAAUGUUGCUUCUAUGGUCAACGCUCACAUUAACCUAGAUCUUUGACAGAGCUUUGAUGUAUGCAAGAUCCAAAUGUUUCUGUUCUGCAGUGUUUUGUUUGAAGUCUGGGCACUGUGUAUAAUGUCUAAACUGAGGAAACCCUUUCAGAAAUAAAUGUAUAAUAAAUCUGGCAUUGGGUUUUUACUCUGAUCUCAUGCCUAAUUAUUACCUACACCUACUUCAAGCGUAAAUGUCGUGCGAUAACUCCCAUGUAAACUAUUAUUUUCGUCUGCAUGCCUUGAUUUUUAUUUUGUUUUUACUGCUGGGUGAUUCUACAACUA
Neogobius melanostomus (round goby) is the source of this 3092-nucleotide long non-coding RNA. Lineage: Eukaryota; Metazoa; Chordata; Actinopteri; Gobiiformes; Gobiidae. The record is from Ensembl.